GUCGGGAUCGCAUAGCUCGGUAGUGCGCUGGUCUUGAAAACCAGUGGGUCCGCCCACGGGGGUUCGAAUCCCUCUCCCGACG
RNAcentral lists this transfer RNA (82 nucleotides) under Candidatus Nanohalarchaeota archaeon. Its description in RNAcentral is "Candidatus Nanohaloarchaeota archaeon tRNA-Ser". It matches the Rfam family "tRNA". Rfam says of the family: Transfer RNA (tRNA) molecules are approximately 80 nucleotides in length. Their secondary structure includes four short double-helical elements and three loops (D, anti-codon, and T loops). Further hydrogen bonds mediate the characteristic L-shaped molecular structure. tRNAs have two regions of fundamental functional importance: the anti-codon, which is responsible for specific mRNA codon recognition, and the 3' end, to which the tRNAs corresponding amino acid is attached (by aminoacyl-tRNA synthetases). tRNAs cope with the degeneracy of the genetic code in two manners: having more than one tRNA (with a specific anti-codon) for a particular amino acid; and 'wobble' base-pairing, i.e. permitting non-standard base-pairing at the 3rd anti-codon position. The record is from RNAcentral. RNAcentral also lists the same sequence under 1 other name. Lineage: Archaea; Nanobdellati; Candidatus Nanohalarchaeota.